UACGGGGGGAGCAAGCGUUGUUCGGAUUUACUGGGCGUAAAGGGCGCGUAGGCGGUCAGCACAAGUCAGUUGUGAAAUCUCCGGGCUUAACCCGGAAAGGUCAACUGAUACUGUGCGACUAGAGUGCGGAAGGGGUAACUGGAAUUCUCGGUGUAGCGGUGAAAUGCGUAGAUAUCUGGAGGAACACCGGUGGCGAAGGCGGCGUCCUGGACCAACACUGACACUGAGGAGCGAAAGCCAGGGGAGCAAACGGG
Molecule: ribosomal RNA, 254 nt
Filed under: uncultured bacterium
Lineage: Bacteria
Description: partial 16S ribosomal RNA
Rfam family: Bacterial small subunit ribosomal RNA
Source: RNAcentral